This 2996-nucleotide ribosomal RNA is filed under the name Triticum aestivum (bread wheat). RNAcentral's name for it is "partial small subunit ribosomal RNA". The record is from RNAcentral. Lineage: Eukaryota; Viridiplantae; Streptophyta; Magnoliopsida; Poales; Poaceae.
UACGUGUAACAUGCUCUGGCGCUCUCCGGAGUACAAGUAUAAUAGUGGUAGGCCAUGGACCGACUUAGUGUACCCUUUGACGAAUACCACUCCGUGCGCUACCUUGCAGGAUCGCUGGAAACACCAAAAUGAGCAUUCCACCUCCACAAACUCCGCCUGCAAUCACGUUUGUGCACCCACGGGUACAGUUGACCCGAUGUACCGGUACGUGGGAAAGAGUCGUUUGUGACAUCAUUCAGACAAAAACAUCCACUGCUCUAACUUCCCCUACGAUAAAUAAAAUAACUUAUACGACUUCACAAGUUGUACUCUAAGUUCUGACGUUCGGGGGGUUGAUGUCUAAAGCUAAAACAACGUUACACCGAGAAAAUAGGACUGCGGUAGCUUUCUAGGCGCCUCCUCCACGUACCGUGCAGCCUCUUCUCCUCAGCUAAGCGGCGAAUGGAGCAGCAACUUCACCUAGGUGUGGCCUCCUUUUCGAGCUCUCCCCCCUUUACCACCGCCCUCAAAAAGCUAGGCGCCGCCAGUGGAACCUAUAUAUUCCGCUGGCUUAGGCGUCCGCCACUGAACUUAAGCAGGGCGACGAAAAAACCUCUACGCGGUAGCGAGGGCGGUACAGUGACCGGCGUCGACGUGCUGCGCUACAAGGGGAGGGGAGGGGACGCAAAUACCUAAGCCGGCAAGGAUUGCCUGGGCCAACUCGUGACGAGACGAAAUUCUAGAGGAUGGUGGUACCGGCAGCCGAGGAGGAAGGUUCGGGGGUACCUUCGUUUGGGAUCGGAUCGGCGGAGAGAGAGGACGAGGACGAGGACAGGAGGAGUCUAGAGGAUGGUGGUACCGGAGCAAGAAGGAAGUUGGGGGGACGCUGGAAGGUACCGCUGUACCUAGAUCGGUCGGCCCAACUCCGGCGACCGGCCUGCCGUCGUUGCACGCAGCCAUGCCACCGUUGGCCCGGCGAGGGCCUCUGGCGGCCGCACACUUUGGCGAACAAGCAGACUACCAAUACAGGGUGAUGAGGCCGCUCUACCUAAACGAACACAAAAUCUCCGGCAUACGACGACGUAAACAACGUGUGAACACUUCCGAAGGUUGAGCCAAAAAAAGACUACGUAUUCGUUGAAGGAACUAGGACCAUACUUCCACAUGUUUAGAACGGGUACUUGGGUCAGAAGAACUUCGUUCGGCCCGUACGUGUUACGUAGAACAAACCAACCACGGACUCACCAUAAACCUGGUCGGACUGGACUCGACAGGUGGCUUUAGUCUCCGGACUGAGUCCGUCUUCGUUAGUCCACGCAGGUACGAACAUGAGAUGCGACGAACUAUAAUAAAAUUAUAAAGAAUCUGUGUCUCUUUCGGGUCCGUGAACUGGUUUGUUGUAUAUAGAGCCGACGGACCGGUCCGGUUUCAGUGCACUCGGCGACGCUGGACAGUGACUGUCCCGUCACGUAUUACUAGAAUCGUAGCUGGUCAUUCGAAUGGUCGCCACGUUUCGAUUCGUAAUGAUUGUACCGAUUUAUUUGAACCUCUCUACUUGUCUUUCGUUUUUGACUGUUAAGAUUAACCGUAGAACAAAAUACUAUUUACACUACGUCGACGAGUGUUGCCUGGUACACACGGUAGGCAUCGUGGUUCAACGAGUUAAGGAAUGACCUGAUUCUAAUCUCGACAAGCAUUCGUUGGAGAUUCCUAGGUGGUCGUGUGCCAAAUGUUUUGCAAUAGUACGUCUACGUCUAAUUGUUUCAUCUUUUAUCAAGUAACUUAUAAGUUUUAACGACUAUUUCUGUAAGACAACAUACGACCAUCGUUAGAGGUUGCCAACUGCGGAAGUAGGACGUUGGUGUUUCUCUUAUGUCAAAAUGAAAAUCCUUUUUAAGAACAGUUAUGACUUCAAGUAAUUGGUCUAUCUACUAUUCAUGUCAUUCUACACGUCGUCGUCAACAACACGUGGUGUGGUAACGUAUUUCAUUCUGGUUCAAACAAAUAUGGGUCGAACAUCAAUAUUAAUAUCCAAAAUAGACGCGGAUGAGUAAAGUUCACGUUGGCGAUCACUGAUGAUACUAAGACGAGGAUAAAGGUCAUAAGGUUACUCCGUUAUGGGACAAGUUCGAUUAAUAUGUUUUCGCACGUAGAUUGUAUAAGUAGGCAAAAAAGUCUUAUUACGUUUGGAUUAGUAGGGAAACGAACACAAAAAAGUUCAGACGAGUAUUAAAUCCCUACGUGUGUACCUCGCCAAGUGCACACAGGGACGUCACAACGUCGACCCCGCAGGGUUCCAGGUAUCGAUCCGGGUGGUUUUCUUACCUCGCACACGUAUCGUUACAGGUCGUCGUGUCCUACUUGACGAUACGUUGUGUGGUGAUGUGUUCCUUGCCUCCCUCAUACUACGUACUGUCGAAAGACGUCGUUACGAAGUUCCUCUUAACCGCACAUUCCGCUCCCUACCAAGUAUUAGAUCGUGAGGACAACAGUCCGGUCCAACUCCCUUGUUCCUUCAUAGUAGUAGUACUCACACGGUACUCGUCGAUGAGUGGUCACGAGGCUAAGAAUCCGGGAACUGGGAUUAGGGUUACGACCGCUCGAGUAACGCAGACAGACUUGGACCGAAGUCUAGUUCUGACAUAUCCCCUAAAAAAAGAAAAUUUUACCAAAAAAAAAUACAAACAUUUAGAACAUUAAAAGUAAAAUAAAAAACGUGAGACAUGAAUGCAUACGACUACGUGCACACUAAGGUAGACCCCGUAGCCGUGCCCAUGGGACGUCUGCCCCGUUAACCUGAACUCCACAAGGGUAUCGACAGAGCGGACAAGAGAGAACAGGUACAUACGUCGGAGACGGGACGUCUCUCUUAAACAUGCCAAUGGUUCUGCGUGACGUAAGUAAGUAGUCCUUUGAACUUAGGUAUAUAAUUGCUGUUUAUGAACUGUACUGUCUACUUCGAACAAGAAAGAACUAUUAGUAAGUGGUCCUACGUUGUUUAGGUAGAACAAUUAGUA